GUAGGAGCCGGCUUGCUGGCGAUGAACGAUUACGCGGUUUCCCUGGCAAACCGCGGCGCCUGGAUCGCCAGCAAGCCGGCUCCUAC
Molecule: unclassified non-coding RNA, 86 nt
Filed under: Pseudomonas migulae
Lineage: Bacteria; Pseudomonadati; Pseudomonadota; Gammaproteobacteria; Pseudomonadales; Pseudomonadaceae
Source: RNAcentral